GACGGGAUGGAAAAAAAUUAGGGUGCGCGUACACAUUUCCCAUUUUCAACGUUAUGCAUUUUCCCUUUUCCACAUACAGUUCAGUUGUUCCCCAUUUUCCUCCUUCCACCGUUCUCCUUCUCCCCAUGUUUUCGCUUCCGUUGUUCUUCCCCAUUUUCUCUCUUUUGCCUCUCUCUCGUGCGUUUUCUCCGCUCGUGCACCAUCUACGUCAUUCGCUCAAAUUUGCAGUUUGCAACUCCACCAUGCGCCCAAGUCCGUCGUCUCCUUGAGGGAAUGUCAACUAUGAAGUUGGAAUUAAAUGGCUCAUUGGUCGUGAGAAUGAUCUAGAUAUAGAUCGAAUGCCCAUGGUAGCAGUAUAGACAAUGACAUUAUAUCCCCUUAACCAUUGCAUGUCACAGAGGAAAUGAGAAGAAAAACUAAGGAACUAAGGUAUGGUGUCAGAACUUGUUUAUUGUGAAAGACUUUAAUAUUUUACAUUUUUUUCAAAAUAAAAAAUAAAAUUAAUCACUAUGUCAAUUUAAUUCCACUCUAGAGCCAUGUAAAAAGUUUCCAUUCUCAUAUGUUAUACUUUAGAUUUUCAGAUGAGUUAUAUUUAUUGGGUAAACCUUUUUGAGUGAUGCACAGGGUUAACAAGUCUCAUUUAGACCUUUUUGGCCUCUUUGUAAGUUGUGUAAAUUAGUUUAUAACUCUUGGCGAUUCUCUUUUGACUGAUUUUGUUUUACAUUGGCUAGCAACCUUCAGUGAAGCUUUUGAUUCAUCUGUUGCAAUGGCAUUUUAAUUCAUUAGUGUUGACAAAUUCAUUUUGCAAAAUUCAAGUUCAACUCACUUUAUUUGAUGUUUGUUUCCAUUCUUGUGCAGUAAUGGAACUUGGCAUUCUACAUGGAAUAUUGAGUUAAAAAGUGAUUUUCAAAGCCUUGAAAAAAGAGGGCAAAUGCAGCUACUUUCAAUUACUUAAUCCAAGUGCACAAUAGAUUUAUGCCUCUCUUGCUCUAUCUCAUUUCUAGAAUGGAUUUUUUUUUUUGGCAUAGUAUUUGAAUUAUAAAAUAUGGAGGAGUUAUUUGCAAUUUUAUUAAUUUCUUGGUUAAUCUCGCCUUUUUUAGUAGGUCUUUUUGUGGAUGUUCCUUAUUAUUUAUGCUUUCUUAAUUAGAAAAGUUGGAUUGGCUAAACCUAGAUGAUAGAUAAGUUCUACAAAAGCUCUUUGAAUACAUUUGAUUUCUGUUUUACUAACAAUACUCAUUUUGGAAAUGUCCACCGUUCAUAGCAUUUGGCAAAGAAAUCACAAUCGUCUAUCGGUGGAACUUCUGAAUGGAUUGCCUUUUGAGUCCACUUCUCUUCUAGGUAAGUCCAUUUGAUUUUGUAUCAAAGUAGACACUGAUCUAUAAUGGGUAUAAAGUUAACUUUCCAUAGCGUUUAUUUUCCUAUAUAGGUGAAAAUAUUUUGAAAACUUAACAUUUGUUUUGUGCCAUUUGUAUUUAUAUAAUCAAGUGUUUGUUACUUAUUUAAAAGUUGGCUUAUAUUUGGCAAAAGUUAACAUUUGUUUGUGCCAUUUGUAUUUAUAUAAUCAAGGGUCAUUUGGUUACGUUAAAA
Benincasa hispida (wax gourd) is the source of this 1587-nucleotide long non-coding RNA. RefSeq lists it as uncharacterized. The record is from RefSeq and is a predicted model, not a curated record. Lineage: Eukaryota; Viridiplantae; Streptophyta; Magnoliopsida; Cucurbitales; Cucurbitaceae.